AUCAUACACCACCACAUCAUCAUCAUCAAGUCAUCCCAUCCUCCUCCUCACAUCUCUCUACUUGCAGUUUUUCGAGCAAUAUUUCAAAAGAGAAACAGGUAGAUAAUAGAUUCAUCCCACUUGCAGUUUUCCUCAUUGACAUAGCAAAUAUACAAUACAUAUGUCUGAUAAAUAAUACAUAUGUGUGUUUGUGCGUGUAGAAAAAGAUAAAUAAACAUACAAAUUAUGCAACUUAAAAUAAUUGAAGACAAACCCACUACAGAUAAUUUGUCAGCAUCCAAUCCUGCAAAAUUGUCAUUGAAAACACAGAUUUAUACAACAAAACUUGGGUCAUAAUUGUAGAUAAUAAAGAAUUAAUAAGCCCAUCACAUGUCCAAAGGUAAGAGAAAAGAAAGGAAUAAACCCAUCAGCCCAUCUUAAACAUUGAAAUUAAUUAUUUAUUUUACAUAUAAAUCAGUUUAUAUGGAUAAAAUUCAAAAGUAAACUAAGAAGAAAAUGAGUCUCAUAUUCAUUUGGGAGGGGACCGUUGGAAAAUAUCAACUCAUGUAAAAAUAAUUUUCACUCCUCAAUUGAAAAUAUACAAUAAACAUAUAAACCAGUUUAUAUAGAUAAAAUCCAAAAUAUACAACAAAUCAAGCCACAUAGGAACAAUUUUGGGACUUAAAAUUGUGUAUUUUUCAUAGCUGUUACUAAAAUUACUUUAUCUGCUGUAACGAAGUAUGCAAAAAUGGAUACUGCAAAGAACAAAAACAAAAAAAAAUUAAAUAUUUUAAAUUUAAAUAUUAUAUAAUUUAUUUAAUUUUAGACAAUGUAAUUCAUAAAAGUUGUAGAUACCUAAAAUAGUACUAUUAAAUACCAAGUUUAUUGUUUUAAAUGGUUAAAUGAAUUACAACAUAUUUGAAUUUUAAAAAAUAAAUUUUAUUCAUUUUGAUAUAUAAAAAAAUGAAAUGUCAAAACAUUGAUUAAUGCAGUAUUGAUUUAGAGCAUAUAAUUCUCAUUAAUUAAUUAAAAAAACUACUGAAUAAGUGAGGAGAGGUUAGAAUCAAACAAAAUACUAGUAGUGAUGAAUAACUUUCUUAAUAAGUGGACAAAUAGAAAGGCAAAAAGAGGAUGUGGUUAACCUAUUUCUUCUAUGUUUUAUUUAGUUUGAAUGUGUCAAACUAUUUUCUUAAUCAUAGAAAAAAAAAUAAAUUUCUAGUGUAAAAAUAAAUAAAAACACACAUACCCAAAGUUGAUUAAAUCCCAGUUCAUAUCAACCAACAUACAUAACAUACAUGCCCCAGAUCAAAACAAAAGAGAGAAAAAGUAGGUAGUGUUAUUUUUUUUUUGGGUGGGUGGGUGGGUGGGGGGAAGAGAGAAUACAAUUGCGAACAAAAGAACAGAAUUGUAAAACUUGAUCGUGAGAAAACAACAAAUAUCAUACUUGCUUCAAUAAACAAUUAAAACAAAAUAUUCAGAGUAUGGAAACAGCGGUGGUGACUUACAAAUUCAGUGAAACUUUGAAUACAUGAAAGUUUAUUAAAGCUAAGAAAAUAAUGGGUUGAUGACCGACACUUGUUGAUAUAAUUUAGAUCCCAAAAUAUUCAGAAAUCAAAUUAAACAAAUAUGGAAAUAGCGGUGGUGACUGACCAUAUUUCACGGUAAGGGAGAAAUUAAGACAACCGUACAAAGUAAACGCUUAAAAAUUAAGGUGCUUACCGGAGGGGAAGAGGAUGAUACGGAUAUCAUAGAAGUCUGAUCUGUAAGCUUCAACAAUUGAGAGAGAUAUAUAGAGAGAGAUGAUAAUGGUUGGCGAACAAACCCAAACCAAACCUGAAGCCCUUUACUUCUUAGGAGGUAUAUUGAAGAAAUCAAAGGAAGGAGAAGGGAGGGAGAACUAAAAUGAGAGGGGAAUUGGAGAAAUUGAAGAACUAAAAGGAAAGAGGGAAUUGAAGGAGGUAUAUUGCUCUCGCAAUCGACAAAUAAGUUUUGUAUAGAUAGAUUAGUGAAGCUGAUUUGUUAUUUUUUGAAGGGUUAGAUUUAUCCCAACUUUUCGAUGGUCCAGAUCUCUUAAUAGACUUUGAGCGGGAUUUUUUUUUUCAAAAUCAAUUCUAUUUUGUAUAGAUAGAUUAAAUAAAGGACACAUUCACCUACUGUAGAAAAGCAUUAGCUAACUUAUUUGGGACAAUUUUAACCCUUCCGACUGAGAGCUCAAAAGAGCCCCAGCCUCAUUCAUCCCACUGCUAUUGCUGCUGCUGGUACACGUUGUUACCACUGGGCAUCAGCUAUUUCCCCCAUCCCGCGUGGUCACUUUGAGGUCUUAUUUAAUUUAGUUCAUAUACCAAAUUGCACCAAACUUUAUAUAUGUUGUAUAUCAUAUGUAAGACUGUAAUUAGAAGGUAUAACCACUCUAUUUCAGAUUCUCUAGUCUACAACCACUCUAUUUAAUAAUUAAGGAGGAUUUGAGUUCAUUUACUUUGGGGGCCUUAGUUGGAUGAUAUAUAUUGCCAAGAUUGACUUGAAUGUGCUUAUUAGAUGUUGUUGCAGUCACCACAAUUGCACAAUGUUGUUACUACUAUUUUUUAUAGGGGAAAUGUGCAGUAUUUCUCAGUGGAAAUUUGGGUCUGUAAUGAACUGACAAUCAUAAUGUCCUUAUUUUCCUAUUGUUUCCUGAAAACUAUGUUUAUGUUUUUAAGGGAGCAUCUCCUUGGAUGAUGAAGUUGUUACAUCUUUAACUUAAGCUGCUUGCAUUAUUGUUAUUAUAUUACUUGACAGCCUCUUAGAGGCAAUUUAUCGAACAUAACAUGUGCAUUUCUUUUUAGGAUAGAACUCAUAAGUAUUUGGUUAUGGUUUAGCCUAGAUUUUACUACCCUUAUUACUCCACACAACAAUCACAACAUCCACUUCAUACUCACUCUCAAUUAUAACACAUCUAAUUACAACACUUUAUUAUCAAAUUUCUAAUAAAAUAACUUAAACAUUUAACUUACCUUUAAAUGUUAGUUUAACUGCUGAUGUUGUUGAGCAUUACAUUUUUUCUUUGCCAAAAUUGUUGAGUUUUUACCGAAAUUGAUGAUGUUUAGUAACCCUUUCGGGUGUGUUAGAGCUUAACAGUUAAUGAAGAAAGGACCAAUAAAAUGAUAAAAACACAAACAAAUAUACUAAUCUUUUAUUUAGAAAUAAAAGCUCAAUACCCAGAUUAUAAAAAUACCAAGUUUCUUUAAAGUAUAUCUUAUUUCUUAUGACACACAAAAAAAAAUAAUCAAUUUUAUGUGAACUAAACACCGUCCAUGGACAUAGGAAGAAGAACUAAUCAGCAUCAGCCACCAAAUCGCCAAUGAGCUUAUGACCCACCACCGUCCACCGUCAAUUUUAUGUGAACUAAACACCGUUCAUGAACUAAAAAUCAAUAUAUAUAUAUAUAUUCUUAUCACAGCGAAAAAGAACUAAACAGAGAUAAAACAGAGGGAGAAAAGAAAAAUCAAAGUAAAAUGUGAAAAAGACUAAAAAAGAUGGAAAAAAGAGGCGAUUCACAGAUCAUAGAAUUUCCCAUAAAACACAAGAAUUAGUUUGAUAAAUUAAGAACACAAACUCACAGAAUUGACGUUGUCGACCCGAGAGUUGGCGUGGGGCACCUCUUCGACCUCCCAACCUUUCGAAAGUUUGAAGCGCGAGUUGGUAAUGGCGGAGGAGUUGUGGUCUUGUGGAGCAGGACUGGCGGUGGCAGAGGGCUGAAGAUGUAGCAAGUGACUGAAGAAGAAGGUUUGGCACUUCGAUUGAUAGAGAGAAUGAAGAAGAAGCAAGUGACUGAAGUCUGAAACCCUUGUUUGUUUUAAGUCUAAAUUUCUAAAGUCCCUCCGUGUUUUGUUAAAUUUGGUUGGGGAAUGAGAUAAGAGGAACAAAACUUUGAGAUAUGAAUAAUAACUCGAUGUAUAUUUUGGAAUUCGAUAUGCAAUUAUUACAAAUUACAAACAAAAAGAAUAUAAAAAUUUCUUCCAAUGUGGUCUUAGCAUAGUGCAACUGCAUUUCUUCCUUUAUGUACAUAUGACAAUGGUGUGGUGCAAUAGUGGUUAUUCUUUAUCAAAGUGAUUGAUAUUGUGGUAUCCUAAAAUCAAUCUUAGUUUUAAUUAUGACAAAUAUAAUUAUAAUUUUUAAUCUUAAAUGGCAAAUAAGGACCAAAUCAUUUAAGGAAUAAUUCAAUCAAUUUACUUUGGAUAAAGUUAGGGUAUAUAUUUUUACAUGAAUUAAGAGUAUCCUCUCUAUAGGUUGCAUGCACGCUAUAAAUUUUUAUCUCGAUCUUAAAGUUUUUCACAUACAUUUUUAUUCUAUUUUAAAAGAUUAUUAUUUUUCAUUUGUGUUUUAGAAAUAUACUUUUAUGUAGUAUAUAUAGGUAGAUGUGUGUGAGAAUAUAUAUGCAAUAAAUUUUAUAAAGACUGAUUGUAAAUUGGUGUUUUUACAAUAUUCAAUAUGAAUGUCAACUCUACAAUUUAAGAGAAAAUUAAGGAGAUUUGAUUAUGUAAGUUGGGUCUUGGCUUGAGUCUUGGGGGAGGUGUCUCUUUCAAGUCUAAGCCAGCUCCUUGGGCUCAAUAUGCUAGAAUCUUGACUGCUAAAGAUUUCCCAACUUUGGUUUCCAAGUCUCCUUCUUCAUCAUCUUCUGAUGUCACUAAAGCUGCUAAUAAUAAUAACAAUAAUAUCUCCUCAGCUGGUUCCAAGAGAAUUGCUGCUGAGUCUGUUUCACCCCCCAGCGGCACCACAAGGUAUAUUAAUUUUUUUUCUUAGAAAACCCUUUUUUUUAUUUGUUGGUUUGGUUUUAAAUUUCUUAUAUGCACUAUUUGUUUCAAUAUUUUGUUGUUCAUUUCAGCUGUUUUCUUAUCCUGCUACAUAUCUGUGCUUGUGUGGGUAUUUGUGUUCAAGUGAUUAUGUGUUUUUAGUUUGUAGAUUUUGAUGAACUUAUUUUUUUUUUCUUUCUAACAUUUCAAUUCCCUAUAGUUGGUUUUCCUGGAAUCUGAUUCCUAAGGUAAAAUGUUAUGUUACCUUCUCUGUUUUGCUUUUUUCUUUAUUUUGUCCUAACUGAUCUCUACUGCCUAGCUAUCAAAUGAUAACCAUAUAAUAAACAUGAAAAAUUCUUUACAAAGGAGGUUUUAAUUGUACAUGUUGGGUCAAAUUUAGGAGACGAUCAGUUAUUCCUGCUUAUCUUUUGUUAUUUUUGAUAUAUAACACAGCCAAAAAGAGCAUUUAAACAGGGGCUUAUAAAAAUGUCCCGUCACCAGAGAUUUUCAUUGAAUCCAAUUUGAUUCAAACUUCAUAAAAUUGAUUUUAAACUCAGUUUGAUUUACCUAACCAACUUGGGUUACAUCAUAACACAUCUAUAAAUAUUACCUAGUCCUAAUCAUUGAGUAAUUUUCAAUUUUUACACAUCUUAACCUCUUUGGGACAAAUUUUCAAACACCCUAAGGGCAUAGCCUAUACUUUCAGAAUUCAUAGAGGUUUAGGCAUGGUUCUAGCCAAAAAAAUUCCAUAGAAGUACUUCACAACACAUAGUUUCCCGACCAAACACAUCAAUUUCAGAAUAACAAACAUUAUGUAAACUUUUAAUUUCCAUAAAAUUAACCAAAUACAUGGCUUACCUUACAAAAGAUUAGUUUGAUGUAGUCUUAGCUUGAUAACCAGUCUAUGAAAUCUUUCUUUACUGCUGCUGAUCUUAAUCCCUUCCCACGUUAGCUUGCAACUUCAAUUCUUUAAUGCCUUCAUUAGUUCCAACCGAAAUUAAGAGGAUUUUGAUAAAAGUUUGGGAGUUGUGGAAACUUGACAAUUAGAUCUAACAAAACCCACAAAAAUCUAACAAAACCUUAACAGCACAAAGGGUUUUUAAAAAAAAAUCAACAAAGAUUUGAAGAAGAAGCAAGCAAAAGGGAAUGAAGAAGAAACCCUUGGUUCCGUGUUUUAGGGUGGAGAGAAUGAAGAAGAAGAAGAAGAAGAAGAAGAAUGAAGAAGAAUCCAGCAAAAAUCAACAAAAAUUUGAAUAUUUGAAGAAGAAGCAAGCAAGAAAUCAAUAGAGGUGGAGAGAAUGAAGAAAAAGCG
Molecule: long non-coding RNA, 6060 nt
Filed under: Panax ginseng (ginseng)
Lineage: Eukaryota; Viridiplantae; Streptophyta; Magnoliopsida; Apiales; Araliaceae
Description: long non-coding RNA (PGIN_LNC011061)
Source: RNAcentral